Molecule: long non-coding RNA, 1761 nt
Organism: Balaenoptera musculus (blue whale)
Lineage: Eukaryota; Metazoa; Chordata; Mammalia; Artiodactyla; Balaenopteridae
Exons: 3
Source: RefSeq, a predicted model, not a curated record
CGGACUCGAGCCGCCAUCCGGCCGCGAGGUCUGGGCGCCUCUGCCCGAGGACGCUGGUUUCGAGCGGGGCCAAAGUUGACUUUGCAUAUGAAGAUACGGGGAAUAGACCACGGACCACAAAGUUAAGAAUGAUAGCAUAUAUUCUACUAGGAAAAAAAAAAAAAAAAAAAAAGCCUUCUCACCAUAUGCAGACAAAUUCCCGGACUGGAGGGAGGGAGAAUUCAGAGAGAAAAGGCUGGCCUUUCUGGAAAAUGGCUUCCCCAAGGAGCAACCUGAAGGGGGUGGCCCUGCUCCUGAAACGGAUUCUAGAAGCCCCAGAGGAUCAAGGAAACACUUGGGAGGAAGGUCUGCAUGUGGAGUACAGAGGUUUGUGUAGAGCGAAUGCUCUAGUCAAUGUCAUGGCCAAGGUUAUGGCUUGACUUGUGAGCAUUAUAGUGAAGGGAAAAUUUUUACAUAAAGCAAUGAAUGAGGUCACAAAUCAGUCAAAUCACAGUGGUGAUAAGAUGUGUGUCCUGAAAGUCGAAGAUGAGGAUGUUUUAAGAAGGGGAUAGUCCCCUGUGUCAGAAGCUGUUGUGAAAAUUAAUAAAGAGAAACUUCAUUUAAACUGGAGUGGGGAGGCCAGAAGGGAGAGCUCUCAUGCCCUACCACUCAGGGUCAAUGGUAGACCCAACAGGAAGAGAGGUACCUUUGCAGCUCCAACAGGAAGAAGGCCACUACUUUACUACCCAGCAAGAGGAUGAAUUUCUCCUCGCCCAGCAACAGCCUAGCCAAUGAGAGGCUGUCACAGUCAGCCAAUGAAAAACCAGUACACUUCAAACUCCCAGUUUCCUCCAAUGGACUCUUUGUUUAUAAUAGCCCCUCCCAACUCCGUCUCCUCUUCUAUGAAAUAGCCCUCUUCUCCUUUAGUCUCUGGACUUGCCUGUUGUUUCCCUGGGUUUGCAUGUUCUGAAUUGCAAUUCUUUGCUGUUCCCGAGUAAACCCAUUUUGCUGGGAAAGUAACUGGCUGUUUUAUUGUUUUAGGUAAAGAGUGUGGAGAGAUCAAGUAAGAGGAAUACUGGUAUUAAUGGAUUUUGAGACUGGAACCAUUGGCUAGCUUAGCAAAAGUAGUUUUGGUGGUGGGAUAGAGGUAGACUCAAAUAGUGGAGUAACUUCAGAAGAUAAUUGGCUGUGAAGGAGAGAAGAGAGAGGAAGCUGGAGAGAGUCAUGGGGUCCAGGCAGCUUUUAAAUUUAAGAUGGGAGUAGCUUAAGCAUGUGUACCUGCUGAUUGGGAGGAGUUAAAAGGGGGCAGGUUUGAGGAUACUGAAGAAAAGGGGGGUAAAGGAAAAUUUGUGAAGAAGUCAGAGGGGCUGGGAUCCAACACGCAGAAGGAGAGGUUAACCUCAGGUAGACGGAGAGACACUUCCUCCAUUUUAAAAGGGAAAAAAAAAAGGUUUGUAAGUUUGGAGAUGGGAAGUUGAGAUGGAGUCUGUGUGAUGGAGUAGAGAAUGCUUGAAAUGGACAUUUUAGAGAACAGGGGAGCAAGCUGCUUGGAUAAACAGAGUUUAAGUUCUGGACAGUUUUUUAAAAAUUAUAAAUUAUACAUGCACACAACAAUGAAAUGUUUAAAGAGAAUUGAAAGGCAUGAAAUGAAAGUGAAAGUCUCCCUCUCUUCUCAGCCUGGUCCCUCUCUACAGAUAUCAUCAUUAAUGUCAGUUUCUGUUUCUGUUUCUUUGGGUGGCUAUUUUCAUAACUCCAAAUUAUAUUACUUUGUUUUUUUCGGUA